RNAcentral lists this ribosomal RNA (1626 nucleotides) under Triticum aestivum (bread wheat). Its description in RNAcentral is "partial small subunit ribosomal RNA". Lineage: Eukaryota; Viridiplantae; Streptophyta; Magnoliopsida; Poales; Poaceae. The record is from RNAcentral.
AUGGAAUUCUCGACGAAAUUCCGCGUGGCGCGAUGCCAUUCGUGUCGCGCCAAAUCGGUUCUUGGUUUGAACAUUUCCUCACCUGUUGCCCAUCCUAUUCGAAAUUUACGACGCAAGACAAGAGAGACCAUACGAAAGCUCUCAAAAAAAAAAAUUCUAGUUGAGAAUGUCGUUGUCGAUCUUUAUGAUUUGCAAGGAUCAACAUUCAGCAAGUCAAAACUGGGAGUAGGACGAUGGUCAGGGAUCACACGACGGAUGGCGAGCAGAAAGGCCAAGGUCCUCGCCGGCGCGGUGGCCGGCACGGUGCUCGUGGCGGCCGAGGUGGCCCUCUACCUCUGCCUGCGCCUCUCCAGGCCCUUCUACCUCUCCACGGCCGCCGUCCUGGCGGCGACGGUCCUGACGCUGCUGCUCCUGCUCCACUGCACGGCGGGGCGGGCGGAGCGCAUGGCGGCGCGCCGGGCUCUGGACGACGGCGAGGAGCUGCGCGCCGAGUACAGCUACUUCCGCAAGGUGGCCGGGCUGCCGCGCAAGUUCUCCCUGCACGCGCUGGCGGCGGCCACGGACAACUUCCGGUGCGUGGCCGGGCGGGGCGCCUCCGGCACGGUCUUCCGCGGCGUCCUCGACGACGGCAUCCCCGUCGCCGUCAAGCGGAUCGCCGACGACCGCCCCGGCGCCGGCCGCGCCGACAAGGAGUUCCGGGCGGAGGUGGCGGCCAUCGCCGGCGCGCAGCACGUCAACCUGGCCCGCCUCCUCGGCUUCUGCCUCGGCUCCCCGCGCUUCCUCGUCUACGAGUACAUGGACCACGGCUCCCUCGACCGCUGGAUCUUCCCCGCCCCCGGCGGCGAAGCAAAUGACGCCGCCGACGCCCGCCCGCGCUGCUGCCUGCCGUGGCCGCGCCGCUACCAGGUCGCCGUCGACGUGGCCAAGGCGCUCGCCUACCUGCACCACGACUGCCGCUCCAAGGUGCUGCACCUGGACGUCAAGCCGGAGAACAUCCUCCUCGACGACGGCUUCCGGGGCGUCCUCUCCGACUUCGGCCUCUCCAAGCUCGCCGGCAAGGACCAGAGCCGGGUGGUCACGGCGGUGCGCGGCACCGCGGGCUACCUGGCGCCCGAGUGGCUCCUCGGCGCCGGCGUCACGGAGAAGUCCGACGUCUACAGCUACGGGAUGGUGCUGCUGGAGCUGGUCGCCGGCCGCCGCUGCGUGCGGCCGGAGGAGGACGGCGGGUGGUCGUACCUGCCCAAGAUCGCCGCCGAGAUGACGCGGGCGGGGCGCGUGAUGGAGGUGGUGGACCGGAGGCUCUCCUCCGGCGUCGGGGAGGCGGAGAAGGCGGCGGUGCGGCGCGCGGUGCACGUGGCGCUGUGGUGCGCGCAGGAGAAGGCCGGGGCGCGGCCGAGCAUGGCGCGCGUGCUGGAGAUGCUCGAGGGGAGGGUUGCCGGGGAGGUGGAGGCGCCGCCGCCGUCGGACACCAUCAUGGAGGACCUGCUGGCGCUCGGCCACGCGCGCGAGCGCGGCGGCGGGCCGUUCCGGCUGCCGUUGCCGAGCCCGACCGGGAGGGCCGCCUCGUCGGCGUCGGUGCUGAGCAAAUACGACUCGUUCGCCAUGUCCUAUCUGUCAGGGAGAUAG